CCAGCCAAUCUACUCUCUUGGUCUCUCCUCUGUAACUUGAUAAAUCAUAAGAGAAGAAGAAAUUAUUGCGUAGAAAGUCGCACUUACUACCUUCUCCAUCAUUGUUAUGUAAGAGGAAAAGAGCGAAAAGCUUACUUUUAGGUAGUGGCCUAAAUGCAAAGAAGUGAACAUCAUGCUACUCAGACUAUAUGCUUAACACAUGCAAGUCGAACCUUGGUUUUUGGAGUUUGAAAGAGAAGGGGAAGAAGCGGGGUAGAGGAAUUGGUCAACUCAUCAGGCUCAUGACCUGAAGAUUACAGAUUUGAAUCCUGUCCUUGCCUAAUUAGUGGAACAUUGUUCACCGGGAUAGAAGGCCGGUCCCAACCCAUCUACAAAAUGGAGCUAGUGUUCAGUCUUGGUUGGUUCCACCUCUUUGCAAGGUGAUGACACCAGUAGCUGUGGAGCACAGAUGACUAUUUAUGUCACUAUUGAAUUCCAAUGUCAGAGCUCCUUUCCAACCAGUCAAGUGGCUUUUCGCUCCUUCUACUGUAAACUACUGUGUGCCUAUUUAGAGCUUUUCACAGUCAAAGGGGUGGCAAGAUCGGCAUGCCUUCUAGUUGUAGUUGACUUUAAGCGCACCUAAACUGCCCAUAGUCGUCUAUUUAUGGGCUUGCACUCAAUAGUCAAUCAAUUCAUUUUUCCGCUUUUUAUCGCACGCUUCAACUAUUUGUUUAUAUAGUGUGUAAAGUCUAACUAAUGGAAAAUGCCUAUGAAUUAGUUCCAAGAAAACGGCCGUUCACAUCAGGAAUAGAGGUUGUUAAGGAUGUACUUGCUUUUUCUCUUUUUUUGUUGAGAUUGGGUUGGUGUUCAGUGUACCACUUGUGACGCCUAUGCUUUGCAAGCCUACAUAGGGUACAAGAUCGAAAAGAAUGCAUUGGAUGAAUGCCCAAGCAUAGAGAAGGAAGGACUCUUUCAAAGGCGAAAGGCAAUGGGGAGAUACCGUCUGUGAUCCAUGGAUCUCCGAUCGGGAAAUCGUAUCCAAGCUCCGUGGCUAGUCUGCGCUCUUUGGACUUUUCAAACUUAGUGAACUGAAACAUCUUAUUAGCUAAUGGAAGGGAAAUCAAUCGAGACCCCAUCAGUAGCAGCGAGCGAGAGCGGAUUGGGGGUUUGAAGAAAAACAAACACGAAGCUUUGUUCCUCUCCUUUUAGGAGAGCUACUUCAUUCCUCAGCAAAGUGUUUACUUCUUUUUUGCCAGGUUUCAUUCGAUUUGUUAUGGAUUGGAUGAUGGAAAAACCAGCAAGCUACGGCUUCAAAGUUUACCUUAUUUAGAAAAGGAGAAAGGGCUUUUUUAUAGAUGUUGAGGUUGAGUAUGGGGGCGGAGCUUGAAGAUAGAAGCAAGCCGUGCUAGCCUAGCAAUAUUUUUCAGCAGCAAGCUAUGGUCUAACGACCCUCUAACCUAGGUUGGGGCAAAAACUCCAAAAUCCAAAAUGUUGGUUAGGGUUCCUCUUCUUUUAGGCGAGCUACUUCAUUCCAAACCUUUCUCUAAUAAUAAGGUAAGCUUUCAAGCGGCCGCCCUUUAAAGGAGCGGGUGCAGUGAACUAUAAUUGUGAAAAAAUUGGAAGAUCUGGCCAAAGAAUGUGAUAGCCCUGUAGAUUCGUUCCCAUGGUUCGAUCCUUCCCAGUAAAACAUGGCGUGUUCGAAUUCUAAUUGCUUUUAUAUGAGAAAAGGGGACUACCCUCUAAGCCUAAGUAUUCAUCAAUGACCAAUAGCGUACAAGUACCAUGAGGGAAAGGUGAACAGAACCCUAUUUAGGGAGUACAAUAGAGAACCUGAGAUCCGAUGCGAACAAUCAAUCGAAAGAGCGGAGCUUAGAGCCUUUACUUUAUGUAAAGCACACUUACUCUAACGGCGUACCUUUUUUAUGAUGGGUCAGCGAGGAAAUGGGAACAGCGGCUUAAGCCAUUAGGUGUAGGCGCUUUCCAGAGGUGGAAUCUUCUAGUUCUUCCUAUUUGACCCGAAACUGAUCGAUCUAGCCAUAACCAGGUUGAAGAGAGCUCUAACAGGCCUUGGAGGACCGAACCUACGUAUGUGGGAAAAUACAGGGAUGACUUGUGGCUAGGGGUGAAAGGCCAACCAAGAUCGGAUAUAGCUGGUUUUUCGCGAAAUUUAUUUCAGUAGAGCGUAUGAUGUCGAUGGCCCGAGGUAGAGCACUCAAUGGGCUAGGGUGGCCUUAUUUCACCUUACCAACCCCAGGGAAACUCAGAAUAUAGGCCUAGAUCAUUUGUAUAGACAGACUUUUUGGGUGCUAAGAUCCAAAGUCGAGAGGGAAACAGCACAGAUCAUACGCUAAGGUCUCUAAGCAAUCACUUAGUAGAAAAGGAAGUGAUCGAGCAAUGACAACCAGGAGGUGGGCUUGGAAGCAACCAUCCUUUGAAGAAAGCGUAAUAGCUCACUGGUCUAGCUCCAUGGCACCGAAAAUAUAUCAGGGCUCAAGUGAUUCACCGAAGCAACGAGACCUUAAAAUCUGCUUUUUCAAGUCACAGUAGCAAAAUAUUCUGUCAAUCGGGGAAGGUUUUUGGUGACAAGACCUAGAGAUAUCAAAAGUGAGAAUGCUGACAUGAGUAAUGAAAAAUCCUGUGAAAAACACGAUCGCCUGCCAAUGGAAGGUUUUCUGCAUUCAGUCAAUCUACGCAGAGUGAAUCGGUCCUUAAGGAACCCCCGAAAGGGCCUAGUCUGAUGGGUACACAAAAGUGAUGAAGUUGCUUUGACUACAGAUCCAUGCCUGUCUGUUGGAGCGAAUUGGAUAAUCGGGCCAAGGGUUGCCCCCUCUUCCUAUCACUCUCUUUUUACUAAUAUGAACCUUGAGUCAUCAAAGUCUUUUUUACUCGGCCUGGCUCGGUCGCCCUACGCGACUGGUGCUUCAAAAGGUGAAAAUCUCGGUCGUAGUUUGGUGACCUAUCUUCAGUAGGGGCCUUUAGUCUUUUGAUUAGAGUAUGGGUCACGAGAGUGCAGAGCGUACUGCCCUGCCAUAGUCACGAGUCUGUUUAUAGUCGCGACUGUUGUCAUAGUCAACAAGGUUGAAACUUCCAGGAAAAAACUUUGAAUUGGGAGGGCGAUCCUCCCGGUGAACUGACCGUACCCCAAAUCAACAUAGGUGAACAAGUAGAGUAUACUAUGGCGCUUGAGAAAACCAUGUCGAAGGAACUCGACAAAAUGACCCCGUAACUUCGGGAUAAGGGGUGCUCUCUUAUCUUUUGAUUAGGAAAGUGGCACAUACCAGGGGGUGGCGACUGUUUAUUAAAAACACAGGACUCUGCUAAGUGGUAAUACGGUGUAUAGAGUCUAACACCUGCCCGGUGUUGGAAGGUCGGAAGGAGAAGUGUUAUAAGCUUUGAAUGAAAGCCCCGGUAAACGGCGGUAGUAACUCUAACUGUCCUAAGGUAGCGAAAUUCCUUAUCGCAUAAGUAGCGACCUGCACGAAUGGUGUAACGACUGCCCUACUGUCUCCGACAUGGACCCGGUGAAAUUGAAUUCUCCGUGAAGAUGCGGAGUACCAACGGCUAAAUGGUAAGACAUAACUAUAGCUUCGCAGUGACAACCUUAAUUAAAUAUGUAGGAUAGAUGGGAGGUGGUGACACACAACGACCAAUCUUGAAAGACCACUUUUUUAUCUAAGAAUGCCUAACCACCGCACCGAUCAUUCAGAGAGAGGCGGGACACUACAAGACGGGUAGUUUAUCUAGGGCGGAUGCCUCCUAAAGAGUAAAGGAGGUGUGUGAAAGUAGGAUCAAGCUAAGAUUUUGCUAGUGAGUGUAAUGGUAUAAGCCUGCCUGACUGUGAGACCAACUGGUUGAACAGAGAUGAAAGUCGACUAUAGUAAUCCGGGAUUCCCGUGUGGAAGGGCUCUCACUCAACGGAUCAAAGGUACGCCAGGGAUAAUAGGAUGAUUACUCCCAAGAGCUCUUAUCGACGAAGUCAUUUGGAACCUCGAUGUCGACUCAUCACAUGCUGGGGUUAAAGAAAGUCCCUAGGGUUCGAUUGUUCACUGAUUCAAGUGGUACGUGAGUUGGCUUUAGAACAUCGUGAGAUAGUUCGGUUCUUAUCUACCAUUGGUGUAAAAGGGAGAACUGCGAGGAGCCAACCCUAGUACGAGAGGACUGGGUUGGGGUAACCUAUGGUGUACCGGUUGUUAUGCCAACAGUAGUGCCGGGUAGCUAAGUUAGUAUGGAAGAACUGCUGUGCCACGGGAAAUCUUUCUCUAUACAAGUUCUCGGAUGAGAUUUUUGAAUAGAACUUCGAUAGGCGAGAGGUGUAAGCACCGCGAGGUGUGAAGCGAUCUCGUACUAAAUGAAACUACUUUCACUUUCCAUAACAAAGAUGAAAGAAAGUCAAGUGAUCUAUGCUUUAUGUAUAGUUCCACUUAUUCGUUCCCUUCUUCUAUUAGUAGUGCCUCUUCUACUAGUUUAACUUGGCCGGACGCGCAAAGCACUCUACCUGAGUGAACUCAGUUAUUUGAUGACAUCUGCAAAAAUAGCGCGGAGUUGCUUUGACUCAGAGGUAGAGAAUUACCUACCGAGUGGAACAUAGCAGAUCUUAUUCAGGAUGUUAUGGGAGACGAGGCUCUUCAAAUUCCAGGACACCUUCAAACUACCUAUUACGAUGUUUUUUUAAGGGGGUCUUCGAGUUGGCUUUUAGAAGAUCUCUCGAAUUUUCUAGAUUUAACCUAUAAUGUCCUCUAGUAUAAGGGAACUUAGUGGAUCUCUACACCACUUUCUUUCUAUUCUAUAACGGAGGGUCCACGUUAAACAGAUUAGGCUCACAGAGUACUUCAAGGCUAGAGUGAAGAGCCACAAAAAAACCUAUCAGGAACUGUAUAAAAAGGGGUCGAGAACUACAUAGAUCUGAGACUUUCCUUCCUUGGUCUGGGAGGUAAGUUAUGUAGGCGUACAACUCUUCCGGCAGUUAUAUUCAAUCACGAAUUACCAAAGAAUUGAUUAGUAGUAUGUCUGUGCCAGAAGACCUUCUCGCAAAUAAUUUCUAUUCAGUGUGCCGCGAGUGGCUUCUCAAUGAAUAAGCUGCGAUUGCUCUUGUUGAUACAGUUUCAUUUUCUUAGGCAGUUUCGUAUUCUAAUGAUCCCCGUCUUACCUGAUGAUUAGGAUUUGCUUUCCCUAUUUGAAAAAAGGAGAUCUGUGUCACUCUCACUAUGCUUCACACAUGAAAUUCUACUACUUUCAAGGGCUCGAAUAGAUUGAUUUGAGAACUUGUUUCAGGGUUACCCCCGUGGGAGAACUUUCAUAAUCUCUUUCGCUCUUGGAUCUCAUUCUCUACUUAGUGACUCGAUCUCUCUUUAUUUUAAAGCUUGUGCAAAGGGGUAACUAUCUGAAGGCCUCACACCACCGCUAGUUGAACCUUCUUCGGUCUCUUUCAGCGGCGAGCUUACCUUUUUUAUUAGUAUUGAAUUUAUGUCAUUGUCGCUCAUCAUCCUUGUUAGAAAAGGAAUAAGAAACUCUCUUUAUAGGAAGGGAAGGUCAUAUUUAGGAAAAAUUGACCAAAAUUCCUCCACUACGGAUGGACUGAUCUGAAGAGCGGAGACUUGAUUCGAUAUUUACAGUUGCGGGCUUCUAUCGUGCUAUUCUAUUUCUAUAGAGAGGUAGGCGACAAAGACAAGGGAUCUCUCUCGCUAUGGAUAGUUGCUGUUUGUGAGAAGCGUCUGUUCCACUUUAUCCUUUCAGUAAUUAUAUUGAAUAAAGACAAAUUGAUCCACUGGUAUUUCGAUGCUCGAUCUACACUUCUCAAAAUCUCACUCACAAUCUAUGGCUCACUUAGGGAUAGAAAGAUAGGAUUCUUCAUACAAAGCCAACCGGGAACCUUCUUUCCAAACUCACUCGACACACAAAAGAAAAGACGAAAGACGAGAAUCAGCGCAAGUAUCAAACACUUAAUAGACAUAGAAGAGUAAAAGAAAUGCUUCCUAGCCUACCGAAAACUCGGUUGAAGCUAGUUAGGUCCACCGGUCAGUCAAGUGUUGACACCGAAUUAGGUUUGACCUUUCUUCUCAAUGUUUGGAUGAACAUGCAUUCUUUUAUCUAUAGUAUGGUAGAGUAUGGUAGACUUAUAACCAAUCAAAUUGGAAACCUUAAUUCGAGAGAUCAAACUAGCAAGGAUAAUAUCGUAAAGUCAGAGAGGAAGAAGAAUGUCAUCAUAGAGGGAUCAGCGUGUAAACUUGAAGGGCUAGGGAACUCCUUUAGCUCAAUAAUGAAAGUUAGGGUCGAUCGGAGGAGACCCAAGCAAGUCAUUAAGCUAUUGGAUGGAUCCUCCUAACUGUAGUUACUUAAGGUCAGUAGUAGACGGGUGAGGCCCACAGUUCUAAUAGGUUUUCACUUGAGCUUUCCGCAGCAAAGCAAGUCUACAAGCCACUGCAGUGAGGUUAUAGGUCUGAUUUCUUUCUCGUAUUGAGAUCUUAGAAUGCUAUAAAAGCCUCCUGCAAGGUUACUUUAGAUAGAGGUAUUUUCUGUAUAAGAUUAGCAUCCCCAUUCGUUGGUUACUUAGUACUUAGGUAGUGAGUUCCGAUCUUAGUAGGCUUUAUUCCCAUCCCUCGUAAGAACAUAGGUUUUUUUCCUUCAGUUUCUACUCUCCUUGCUUUAACUAAAGAACUACCUUUAACUUUAAGUAGGACUCUAAUAGCUCUACCUUAGAAUGAGUUAGAUUUCAUGCAAGAAGGAAUGGCAAGACGCUAAAGACAUGGCUAUGAGACUAGUGUAAUCAGGUAAUCGACCAAGUAAUCCACAUAUAUGAUAAAAGAGCAUUCCAGCCCUAGUGUACUUAUCCACUGGCAUUGAAGGAGAAGAAUGACAAGGUCUGCUUCUACAGUAAGGAUUGCCGCUUAGUCCAAUCCAAGAGCAAACAAGGGAUGCCUCAUUAAGCAAGAACCUGAGCUAAGAGCGGGGCAGUUCAAUUAAGGUAUAGAGAAAGCUCCAAGAAGCUACCAUUGAUCAGCCUUAUUCAGGCGCAUCAAUCAAAGAUCUUGCUUACCAGAUAACUUUCCUGGUGAAGGAGAGAAAGUUUGACAAGCUAAGAAAGUCUAGUUGAAAGCAGGAACUCAGACUGUGAUGACUAUUUUCACUAGUUUCAAAGGCUUGAUUGAACCUUGGGAUUGAAUCUGGAUAGGGAGUGCCCUCGUAAAUACUAAAACCUCAUUACGCCGAAAAUAGUAGAGGUGCGACAGCGCUUUGGUAGUGAGUGAAACUUACUUUCUGUCUGGUUAGUAGGAAUUUCUUGCCUGCUAAGGGAUUAGUCCAAGUUAGACCGAGAAGUAAGACUUUGUAAUUGAAGUCAGGGGGGAUGAAUAGAUAAAUUCUCUUCCCACGUAGCGCUAAGAAGCAAGUUCUGACAGCCUAUGAUGAAAUAGCACAAAAUAAAAAAGGGCUACGUGAAUAAUAGUGUUAGUAGUUCGUGAGGCUAAUUUUGAGCUAGAUAGUGGAUUGAUGUUCACUGUAGCACUAUCUGACCUUGAAGGUUAAGUUAGUGUACCAUGAACUCCAUCCCACAUAUUUUGGAUGUUGUGGCAUUAGUUAUCUAGCUACAUUCUAUUACCGGUUGACACCAUUUUGGAAAACUUUGAUUCCGGUUACUGCUUGUUAAAUUCUGUUAGGUUCUUUGUCAAAUACUAACUGAUUCGAAUCCAUAUUCUUUGGGGGUCUAACUUUGGUUGUUCUUUCCUUCGAGCUAAGAUAGACCCUAUCAAAAACUAGUUCCAGAAGUAUCUUUCAUUAAUCUCGACCUAGACUGAUCUUUGUUCUGAUGAUGAUAAACCAUCAUCAAUUUGUAUAGUAUAUAUACCACCGAGCCCUCUUUUUGUACCAUUUUAUUCUUUCUAAAAGAGGGCCUGGAACUGGGCUCUUUUCAUAGCCCCUAAAGGCGUUAGAAAGAGAUUUAAUCAGCCAGCGUAAUAACUUCAAUCAAUAGAAAAAUCUAUCAAGACCAAAAAUAAAGAAUACCAUCUCCCAGGGAGUUUUUUUAUUUUGUAUAUCUUGACUUGAGAAUUCUCCUCACGCUUUUCCAUCACGAUUUUCUCUUCGAGAACACUCGCCUCGUCAAUUUUUCCCCUCGUUCCUUUUAUCUUGGACAUUGAGAUGUUCAUCCAAAGCAUUCUUUUCUACCCUAUGUAGGUAACAGAUGCUACGGAGCUGUAGACUUAAGACCUAAGGAUAUUUUGUUGACGGGUGAUUGGGUUUUAGAAUCCUCAGGAAAGUGUAAGCACCUGUAUACAAUUUUGAUUUUGCUUUCUAUAUAUAGAUAUGGAUUUCUCUUGAUGGAAUAAACCAAGGAAAAUCUUCUUUUUAGAACCACAACUCAGUGAAGUAGGCGACAAUUGCUAUUAGGGUCUAUCUUAGGGCAUUGGCUCUCUAAAAAAUGGAUUUCCUAUCGUUGCAUGGGUUCCUUUUUGCAUAAAACAUAUUGACUACAAAUUGAACUAAAUAAAGAAUGUUGACUAUUCGACAAUGUGAAGACCGCAAUCUCAACUUAGAAUAAUCAAAUGCCCAUCACGAGUCACAUGGGCACCCCCACCAGGUAGAAUAGUUGUAUAUCCCCAUCAAGAUCUAACUCUAAGAGGAUACUAUUCAUUUCUUCUUCAUACUGCUGCUCGCUUUGGAGACUAAACAAUGGAAAUAAUACGUAACAGUAAGCCAAGUAACGAUAAUAAGAAAUACUAGGGUAUAGCUAUUUAAAUCCUCGGUCGAAAUCAUCCAACAUCAAAUUGUAUAAGACCUUAGUGAUUAACCCAGCGUGUGGGAUCCCAACUUCCGUAAUAGAACAAUUAAUUCCAUUUUAGUCAUUGGUAUCUUUAAAAAGAAUAAAACUAAGGAUAUUACGUAGCUAUCAUACACCAAGGGUGCCAGCUUUCGUAAAAUUCUUUUAUGAGGAAUAGUACCUUGUGAGGGUGCUAGAUUCAAGAUAAAAAUAGUUAGUUUCUUCCCCACUCCACCUAAUUUGGCAAAGAACUUAUGGCAAUCUCUGGGAAAACCACACGACCUCUCCAGAAAGAUAGAUGAACGCAUAAAACAACUAUUCAACAUAUGCACCAGAGCGAUUAAAAGGAGAGCGUCCCUUUCACCGGGAUAAACAACCCAUUUAUGAUCAGGGUCCCCUGGCUGACAUAAAGUUUCAACAUAAAAAGAAAUUGCAUCAUCUUUGGGAAUACUUAAUAACUUAAGUGGGGACAAUGCAUACUUCUCUUCUGAGAUAAGAAUGAUUAUAUCACAUACGCUUAAAGGGGGCAACGAAAAUAGAUCACCAAGUUUAGCAUAGACAUAUAAUAUUGACCGGGCAAGUUUCUGUACGAAGCAUGAAUAAGGUGGAUUUUUCUGUGGGUCCUCGCCAUCUGAAUCAAUUCAGAAUGAACAGUGUCUCUAUUUGGCUUUGUUAUUAUUACAGUGUUAUCUGCACCCAGCCAAUAAGUAGAGAUAUGGAGAGAGGGGACAGCUUUGUUGCAGACCUUUCUUUGCUUUCUUUUAUGAAAUCCACUAGUCGUCCAUGGAUUAUAGGGGCUUUCCAUCGUAUAUAAAUACAAUUUCAUAUCCUACUCUGGAAAUCCCAUUUUCCUUAAGCAUAUAGAAACCUAUGAUUCCAAUUUGCAUAUGCUGCUGCUUUGGUGAAUUUAGUGAUCAUGGCUGGCUCACCUGAUCUAUCAGCUGAGUAGUAAGCCUCCUUGGGAUAAUUAUCAAUAUCUCUUCCUAUCAAAAUGAGAUUAGGAGGGCGCCCUUUUUAAAGAGCUAGUCUGUCUUUCAAUAGAAACUAUUGGCAAUUGCCUUAGUCAUUCUCUUAUAUAGUGUAGUCCCCAUAGCAAUGGGCCUCGGUCUAGUUAGGUUUUGCUUUUUUGGGAAUCAUUGCUAGGAAUAAGGAUUGAAUUGCACCUGUUUUGCUCCUGUUUGACUUCAAUUACCAUAUGGAAAUGGAGAUCGUCCAACAUUAUGUUCCAGCACUGCCCCUGAAUUAAUCAACCAAGUAGAAAUUAAAGUUCAGUUGGAAUCCAUAUAGUGACGUAGUUUUUUACUAUGAAGAGUCCCCUAUUGAUGAUACAGAACUUACUGCCCCGCCCUUUAUAGUCGCGACUAUUGUCAUGGAAAAAGAGUUUAUUUUCUAUCAAAGAAGCAUGCUUAACACAGCCUAUAGCAUAAAGGCAUUCGAGCUGCAUCUAAAUGAAAUAUUGGGCAAGGGCCCAUACUCUCUCUUCUAUGGAUAUGCUAUCCCUUCCGGCUAUGGUAUGGGGAAGGAGAGGUAAGAUCUACUCAUUGAUUUUAUAUUAGAUGAGUGGCCGUACUAUGAUCGUUUGGGAGACAUGGGCCCACGCGCUACACACAAGAAUAAAUUGUUAUGCAGUUGGUAACUCUUUCCUUUCUGCGGGCAGCCUAUCAAAUCGGAUCACGUAUUUUGGAAUAUGUCAUUACAUUAUGUAUAUGUAUUCGUUUUUCUAUUUUUUUGGAUAUUCCUGCUCGUGCCCAGAUAGAGAAUGGAUACAACUCCCCCUCUCCCCAUUCGACCGUCCAAAUAGGCCGGCCGUUCUAAGUUUUGGGGUUAGGUCGGAUAGGACCAGAUCCAAUCGAAUCUGAUCAUAGCUUCGAGUUCAGGUGUUGUACUACGGCCGGACCAGAAAGGAGGGGGACAGCGAACCUCCUUCCAAGAGGCCAAGGUUGCUUGCUAACUCUCAUCCACUUGUUAGAAGGAAGUGUAGCUUGAUUAUCGGGGGGAAUCAAUGGGAAGGAAAAAAGAAAGUAGAUUAUUCUAUUUCAUCCUUUGGUAAGGAUUGGUUUUUUGUUCAAGGGUAUGUUAAAAACCAUUGUAUUUUCUUUAUUUGUAUCACCGAGACACCCGAAGAGCCAGCAAUAUGUACCUCGGGAGCCCCGGCCCAUUCAAAUCAAAAUAGAACGAGCACCUACGACUAAGGGGAAUAGAAUGUCAACCAUAGGGUGAGAAAAUCUUAUAAUACGAGGGCUAGUGACUGGUCAAGUCAUUAAACUUAGUCAUUUUGAUCAACAUGGCUGCAAGUGGACUGGGUUUAUGGGUUUAAACUGACUACGACCAAAGUCGUGGCUACUUCAACCCAAAAAAGGGCGACCCCCUAUUCAAACCAAAAGAAGUACCUCACCUCACUUACGAAGAAGUUGUUGGAGCUGGGCUCCGAACUAUGAGAGUUUUCUUUUUAUCUUUCUCAGAGUGGUCUAAUCAAAUAGGGGAUCAGACCACUCCUGGUGUUUUAACUAGUCAUUAAUGGUUGACUUAAUUAGUACCCUUUCGGUAUGUGUUGCGAACACUUUCAUUUUUAGCCUCUCAUCUUCUCUAGAGGAAAACUGGAACGGAUAGAACAGAUGGUCCAACUACAUAACUUUUUCUUUUUCAUUACUUCCAUGGUCGUGCCUCGUGGCACGGCAGUACCUGUAUUAUUGAAAUGGUUCGUCAGUAGAGAUGUUCCCACAGGUGCCCUUUUUUCCAAUGGUACUAUAAUUUCUAUUCCUAUCCCUUCAUUCCCUCUUUUGGUCUAUCUACAUUCUAGGAAAUUCAUACGCUCUGCGGAUGGAGCAAAAAGUGGAGUCUUGGUCAAAGCAAGCUGCCCUAUUCUAUUACCAGACAUAAUUGGGAGAAGCACAUCAGAAACUAGAGCUAGAAAUGCUUUAUUUCGUUUCAUUCCCGUUCUUUAUUUCCUUCUUCUCGAAUCCAAGGGGGAAUUCUCAUAUUUAGAAUCUUUCUGUGGUGUGCUCCGUUUACUAUUCUUUCAUACUUUCUUCUUUUUACCACGCCAUAGGUUAGAGAAGUCUAAGCGGGCGCGGAGAAGGAAAGGCCAAACACUUCGGCCUAACGGGAAUGAGCAACAACGAAAUAAGAAGAUGAUGUGCCUCGGGCAUCCCCAUUUAGAAAGAAGGGUCAAAGUUUUUGGGCCUAUAGCUUUCCCCAUCCCCCCUUCAUCGGGCGGUGCUUGUGUGGAGGGUGCGCCACCUGAAAUCAGGCUUGAAGCUCUCACCUUACCAACAAGCCGAGAGCUGAUGGCUGUUGGUCACGAAUACUAUCAAAAAACUCCUAUGAAGAUGAAUAUUUCAUAUGGAGGAGUAUGCAUCUUUAUGUUGGGUGUUCUUCUAUCGUGUGACCCGGCGGCUUAUGUGCGACCUGUGGCCCACGCCUCCUAUUUAUUUAGGGCGGGCGGCGUGAACUCUAAUUCGAUCCGGGUAUUCAAUCCCGCCGCUGAGAUGCUCAGUUGACUCCUUAACCUUGAUAGGAAGAUGGCUUAUUCAAUAAUUCAUGCAUAAGGGUAAGGAACUUUGGAUGAACUAAUGCGAAUGGGUGUAAGCCUUACUGCUCGGAAACACCCAGUGCUGACCACACUGAGAGACACAAAAGUGUAGGUAACGCCAGUUGGCGAAGUAGUGUUAAGCAUCCCUAGCGGUACAAAAAGAGGGGUCAUGAUGAUAUCAUCUACGUCCAUACCGCUCCUCAUGGAGUAGAUCCUGUAUCUAACCAAGUCUUUGACCAGGGAAUGGGAGAAUUCCCACUACCGCUGGCAGGCCAGCCAGGCUGUGAGCGCGGUGGGAACGGGCUUCCCAAGAAGCCAACCUGGGCUGGGGUCAGCAUAGAAUGAAGGGGACGGCCCUAAUCUUGUGUUGGCUUUGCCAACUUAUUAGGUUACGAGCGAAGAAAAGCAGAUGUGGGGACUCGGGUCGGGGCGCAGCGUAACUAAGAGAGCCAUUCCAUUUAGGGCGAGACAAAAUAGGCGGGCAGGGGCGGUCUGGUGUCUGAACCAAUUGGUCAGAUGACGACUACUUCACUUAUUAUUUUAGUAUUAGCCGCCUAUCCCGGAAUGGAAUGGGAUGGAAUAGAAAGAACGUGAAGCGCUAGCACUACAGGGUUGGUUUUUUUAGGGGGAUAGGCUUGUGAAGAAGCAAGCUUAUCCCCGCCCCGACCAGCAGCUGCUAGGUUUCCCCACCUCUUCUAAACUUCCCCCAGUCUUUGGCCCAAGCUGUAUGAGGCAAAAACUCAUCCCACUUACGGUUCGGAGGCCGAGCCCCACCCCAGCAGUAAGGGUGCGGCUUAGGUCAACUAACAUAAAAAAGAUAGAGUUCACUCAACGAUUGCCUUUGGGUUCCGAACUCCAUAUGGGGAAGGAGCGUUGUUGUUUACGAGGUAUUGAUCAUUUACAUGGACCCACUUUUCAUUCCAUUUGUGGGAAUUUGAUGAUCUAUAAACCGUCCCUAACGAGCGAUCGGCUCAUGUUUGAGCAUGAUGAAUCACUUCGUGCCGACCUGUUGCCAAUCCACUUUCCGGCCUCAUAUGAGAAUGGAAAACUGGAGCAUUUUAUCCAUCGGUGGAUGAAGAAUCGCGAACAUAAUAAUUUCUGGUUGACCAUGUUCCCAGAAAAAAGAUACUUUCGAGAAAGGACGAGCACGACUGAAGUGGCUAUACAUACAAAUCUAUUUACGGAUCUAUAUGCUUCGAUUGGAACUGGAAGUUCCAGAACAGGUGGCUGGUAUACCACAAUAAUAAAACUUCCUUUUAUUUUUUUUAUUCGGUGCGGCUUAGGUCAACUAACAUAAAAAAGAUAGAGUUCACUCAACGAUUGCCUUUGGGUUCCGAACUCCAUAUGGGGAAGGAGCGUUGUUGUUUACGAGGUAUUGAUCAUUUACAUGGACCCACUUUUCAUUCCAUUUGUAGGAAUUCGAUGAUCUAUAAACCGUCCCUAACGAGCGAUCGGCUCAUGUUUGAGCAUGAUGAAUCACUUCGUGCUGACUUGUUGCCAAUCCACUUUCUGGCCUCAUAUGAGAAUGGAAAACUGGAGUAUUUUAUCCAUCGAUGGAUGAAGAAUCACGAACGUAAUAAUUUCUGGUUGACCAUGUUCCCAGAAAAAAGAUACUUUUGAGAAAGGACGAGCAAGACUGAAGUGGCUAUACAUACAAAUCUAUUUAUGGAUCUAUAUGCUUUGAUUGGAACUGGAAGUUCCAAAAUAGGUGGCUGGUAUACCACAAUAAUAAAACUUCCUUUUAUUUUUUUUAUUCGGAUCGGAUUUAUGUUGGCUUCGUUGGGAGGCUCGCGUAGUUUGUUACGUUAGCUCCAAAAGGAUAAGUUGCGUUGGAAUUGAUAAAGUUCCGUGGAGUUCAUAAUUGCAUAAACGGAGUCAAAGUAGUGGCUGCGGCGCGUUAAGGUACUUCUUCGACGGUCCCCGUAUGCCUGGCCUGUCGGCCCGCUCUGAAGAAUUCAUGAUUUAUAUAUGUUUUAGGCCGGUAAGAGGGAGUACGGAAUAAUGAUUGAUUUCAUUAUAUCCAUCUACGCCUACCCCAUCUACCUAUUGUCAGAGGUCAAUUGUUGCGCUCUCUCUCGAGAUUGCAAUCCCUAUCGAGUAGGGAAGGAAUGAGUAAUGGGUUGGGAAAUCAGGCAUCGGCCCUCUUAGAUCCGGUAGGAGCAGGAGUAGGUAAGUUAGUAUCGAUCCAGUGAAGAAAAGAGAAUUUAGUUGAUAGAGACGUUAGAUCAGGAGGAAGCAUCUGGUCACAUAUCCCAAAACCUUCACGAGAAAGGAACGGACUCACUCGCCCUACUACUAAAGAUAGAUAGAAAAGGUUAGGAAGUCCCAGCUGCUGAGGUGAUGUAGUGAGAGGUGAGAGCAAUAACAACAAAAGCAGUGGAAGAUCCUGCAGUAGUGUAUUUGGUUGUUUUGUUUGCGGUGGAAUAGAUCCAAGCAUCCGGGCCAGUAGAUCCACAGCAAAUAAGCGUUGACUUAGGUGCUUUUGCAGUUUAUUUGUUUCCCGAUGUUGAUCCGAUGUAACUUACCGGUGAUAGUCGCAGCACCAGGAGCUUUCAAGGGAGGGGGACAGGAUCUCUAGUUCUAUUCUGGAAUCUAAACCUAAAAUGUAACUAAAUAGGCAGCGAGCCAUUCAGAUGAGACCCGAAGACCAGGAAGAAUAAAUAAUCAAAGGGAGGGGCUUCUUUCUUCAACAGAGGUAAUGCUUAUUCUUCUCCUUCCCGGUACUCUUGAAUAAGGAAAGGAUUUUCUCUAUUCCCUAUCAAAAGCACUUUCAGUAGAAAAAUGAAUUCGUCUCAAAUCAAAAGAAUAAGACUCCGCACCUUCAACUAAUUCAAGCAAUUCAGUCAGUAGGAAAGUCAUAUCACUGAACAUUGGAUUAUAUACAACCUCGUGAACAUUACAACCAAUCAAUCGAGAGUCUUCUAUACAUUUUGAAACUUUCAAUUUAUUCCCAAACUCACAAGAAAAGGUAGAACCUUUGGGAGGUACUUUCGUUCUACUUUACUAUAGCAGUUUUAGAUCUGCCGCUCGCUCUCUUGCAAGUGCUCGUCUAGCUCCCUCUCCUUGAUCUCUUCUUUUUGUUUUUAGCCAGAUCCCUUCGAUUAAUCCUACAUUUUUCUUUUUUUCCCAUGAUAGCGAUAUUCCUUUGCUACUUCUUUCCUCGGCUAAUGGAAAAAAAUCCUUCUUUUUACCCUGCCUGGCGCCAUCCAUCUCCAAAUAGUAAAUGCGCUGCUGAGCUCAGAUGUCCGCUCGUCUGGCAAGUUGGCAGCAAGCACUUCCUCCCCUCUUUGUGUGGAAAAGCUUCUGAAAGCCUAUUAGUUAGUAUUAGUCAAAAACCUAGUUAAGGGGUCCGUAGUUGUCGCAAUCGCUCAUUGGUCUUCACCUCAAGUGCUUUCUUCAAUGAGUCCAAGGCUAGACCCUAAAUGCCGCC
RNAcentral lists this long non-coding RNA (15693 nucleotides) under Capsicum annuum. RNAcentral describes it as "long non-coding RNA (CANN_LNC015629)". The stretch from base 897 to 4348 matches the Rfam family "Bacterial large subunit ribosomal RNA". Lineage: Eukaryota; Viridiplantae; Streptophyta; Magnoliopsida; Solanales; Solanaceae. The record is from RNAcentral.